Molecule: ribosomal RNA, 275 nt
Filed under: uncultured bacterium
Lineage: Bacteria
Description: partial 16S ribosomal RNA
Rfam family: Bacterial small subunit ribosomal RNA
Source: RNAcentral
AUACGUAGGGAGCAAACGUUGUCCGGAUUUAUUGGGCGUAAAGGGCUCGUAGGCGGUUCAACAAGUCGGUCGUGAAAGCCCGGGGCUCAACCCCGGGACGCCGGUCGAAACUGUUGUGACUAGAGUUCGGUAGAGGUGAGUGGAAUUCUCGGUGUAGCGGUGGAAUGCGCAGAUAUCGAGAGGGACACCAUUAGCGAAGGCGGCUCACUGGGCCGAUACUGACGCUGAGGAGCGAAAGCGUGGGGAGCAAACAGGAUUAGAAACCCUGGUAGUCC